GCCUUGGUGGCGAAAUUGGUAGACGCGCUGGAUUCAAAAUCCUGUGGUGGCGACACCGUGCGGGUUCGAUUCCCGCCCGAGGCA
RNAcentral lists this transfer RNA (84 nucleotides) under Saprospira grandis DSM 2844. Its description in RNAcentral is "tRNA-Leu". It matches the Rfam family "tRNA". From Rfam's summary of the family: Transfer RNA (tRNA) molecules are approximately 80 nucleotides in length. Their secondary structure includes four short double-helical elements and three loops (D, anti-codon, and T loops). Lineage: Bacteria; Pseudomonadati; Bacteroidota; Saprospiria; Saprospirales; Saprospiraceae. The record is from RNAcentral.